GUGCCAGCCGCCGCGGUAAUACCGGCAGCACGAGUGAUGGCCGCUCUUAUUGGGCCUAAAGCGUCCGUAGCCGGCCAGUCAAGUCCGUUGGGAAAUCGGCGCGCCUAACGCGUCGGCGUCCAGCGGAAACUGACUGGCUUGGGGCCGGAAGACCUGGGGGGUACGUCCGGGGUAGGAGUGAAAGCCCGUAAUCCUGGACGGACCACCGGUGGCGAAAGCGCCUCAGGAAGACGGACCCGACGGUGAGGGGCGAAAGCCAGGGUCUCCAACCGGAUUAGAAACCCGGGUAGUCU
This 293-nucleotide ribosomal RNA is filed under the name uncultured bacterium. RNAcentral's name for it is "partial 16S ribosomal RNA". It matches the Rfam family "Archaeal small subunit ribosomal RNA", at positions 455 to 747 of the family's 1478-position model. The record is from RNAcentral.